GGCCGCCUGGCGAAAUGGCAUCGCGUUUGACUACGACACAGUAAUCAAGAGAUUGCAGGUUCGACCCCUGCGGUGGUCA
Molecule: transfer RNA, 79 nt
Filed under: Steccherinum ochraceum
Lineage: Eukaryota; Fungi; Basidiomycota; Agaricomycetes; Polyporales; Steccherinaceae
Rfam family: tRNA
About the family: Transfer RNA (tRNA) molecules are approximately 80 nucleotides in length. Their secondary structure includes four short double-helical elements and three loops (D, anti-codon, and T loops).
Source: Rfam by way of RNAcentral